Oncorhynchus gorbuscha (pink salmon) is the source of this 816-nucleotide long non-coding RNA. RefSeq lists it as uncharacterized. The record is from RefSeq and is a predicted model, not a curated record. NCBI's taxonomy places the organism in Eukaryota, Metazoa, Chordata, Actinopteri, Salmoniformes, Salmonidae. The transcript is spliced from 3 exons.
AACAGUAGGGUAGAUCUCUGCGGUGUAGAUGUAGACCACGGUGAACGACAUUGUGAAGGCAAACUUCCCAACCAUCUCCACAGCUAUAGCAACACCUUGCAGAUCUACAGGACAGAGAAAGACAUUGAGAUACAUCGUCUCUCAGUAUGGCCUCAGCCUCCUCUACUCUUCCCUGAGAGUAUAGCCAACGUGGAGACUCUGGGAUGAACCUAACAUAGACAGUGUUUAUAGUGAGGUAGAGGACGGAACACAGUGAUUGCAGGGAGAAACAGUACCUGUCAGAAAGCUGCCCAGACAACAGGGAUCCAAUCAGGAAACCCACAAAAAGAGUCGACGAGGCAAAAGGAGUUUUCCACUCAUUGUCACAUACAAGGUCCCACUGCAGGAAAACAAACCCAUUAUUCCUGAAGUGACAGCACCUGUGGCAGCAGAAGGCUCUAGUAACAAACCCAUGCUGAAAAACAACAUUUCAUUUGCCCCAAAAGUGUAAGAGAAGGACAGGAGCUGGGGAUGUUGCACAUUUUCACUGAUGCCAAUGGAAGUUUCAGGAAAUUACCAAAGCCGUUAACACCUCCCCAGUGACUUUGAUCACUCAACAAUUCCCAAUACUGUAAUUCCAAAUCAAAUAUCAGUGGCAUGUUUGAUUAGAUACUCAUGAUUCUGGUAAUUAUCUAAGCAAGAAACAUACUAGGUGUAGUACUACCAAUUCACUACUUCAUGGCCAAAUGUUUGUGACACAUGACUGCCCUGGGCAACAUAUACUCACCUCAGUGACUAUGGUGGACUGGUAUAUAUCUUUGCUGUAGCUCCAUCCAU